Molecule: RNA transcript, 528 nt
Organism: Acipenser ruthenus (sterlet)
Lineage: Eukaryota; Metazoa; Chordata; Actinopteri; Acipenseriformes; Acipenseridae
Exons: 2
Source: RefSeq, a predicted model, not a curated record
AGAUGAUCAUGGUAACAGCAAUGGCAGUCAUGUGAAAAUAUUCCUACCCAAGAAGCUGCUCGAAUGCCUCCCGAAAUGUUCCUCUCUUCCCAAGGAAAGGCACCGCUGGAACACCAAUGAGACUCGUGCGUCCAGACGCCAUAUUGGAUUUCUUGUUAUUAUUGUGAACUUGACCCCUGAACCCUGACUUCCUGCAUUACCUUGGUAACCAUUUCAUUUUUUAUUUCCUUGCAUUUAAGAUUUUAUUUUGAUUUUUGAAUUUAAUUUUUUUUUUUUACUUAUUUGCAUAAUUCACAUGCAUUUUAUAUUUAGUCCAUUAAACAUUUCUCUGUAAGUCUGUAAAAUCAAUAACCGGUAAUUGUAAAGUAAGCACCCACAGUAGAAAACAUUUCAUUUAUUUUCUAGUAUUAAUAUUAUUUAUUAUGUGUUGUUUUUUCUUGCAUUUCCUUUUGUUUUCUGUUAACCUUGUGUACCUUCAGUUUGCAUCAUUCUCAACUUUAGCCCAAUAAACUAUUUAUAAUAUUUUAA